AUGCUUCCAUGCUGAUGAUGCUCAUUAAAAAAAAUAAUGCAGUAAUUAAAUUUGUGACUGAACUCCUUGGAGGAGAAUUGUAUAUCUCUUACUCUGUUUUACCUUCGUUCUGCCAUAUAUUUCAUGUUAUAGCAGUCUCGGAUGAUGACCAAGCAUAUGUUGUUCAUUUUAAGAACACUUUCACUGCAGAUUUGAUAAAAGACAAAGAAGGUACCAAUGUGAGAUUUCUAAAGAUAGCUACAGCACUGGACCCAAGAUUUAAUAAUCUGAACUGCCUUC
Molecule: long non-coding RNA, 279 nt
Organism: Chelonia mydas (Green sea turtle)
Lineage: Eukaryota; Metazoa; Chordata; Testudines; Cheloniidae
Exons: 2
Source: RefSeq, a predicted model, not a curated record